GACGAACGCUGGCGGUGUGCUUAACACAUGCAAGUCGAACGGUAAGGCCCUUUCGGGGGUCCACGAGUGGCGAACGGGGGAGUAACACGUAAGUAACCUGCCCUCAUCUCUGGGAUAACGGUCGGAAACGGUUGCUAAUACUGGAUAUGAGCUUGCAAGUCAUCUGGUGGGUUGGAAAGAUUUUUUUGGUUGUGGAUGGACUCGCGGCCUAUCAGCUUGUUGGUGAGGUAGUGGCUAACCAAGGCGUCGACGGGUAGCCGGCCAGAGAGGGCGACCGGCCAUAUUGGGACUGAGAUACGGCCCAAACUCCUACGGGAGGCAGCAGGGGGGAAUAUUGAACAAUGGACGGAAGUCUGAUGCAGAAACGCCGCGGGCGGGAUGACGGCCUUCGGGUUGUAAACCGCUUUCAAUUGUGACGAAGCUUUUUGUGACGGUAGCAGUAGAAGAAGCACCGGCUAACUACGUG
RNAcentral lists this ribosomal RNA (466 nucleotides) under uncultured bacterium. RNAcentral's name for it is "partial 16S ribosomal RNA". It matches the Rfam family "Bacterial small subunit ribosomal RNA", at positions 28 to 507 of the family's 1533-position model. The record is from RNAcentral.